This is a non-coding RNA of Acanthosepion pharaonis, 100 nucleotides long. NCBI's taxonomy places the organism in Eukaryota, Metazoa, Mollusca, Cephalopoda, Sepiida, Sepiidae. The record is from the annotation of a GenBank genome assembly.
GACCAUGUCAUGGUUGAAACACUGGUUUCGUACGAUCACCGGAAUUUAAGCAACGUCGAGCCUGGUCAGUACCUAGAUGGGUGACCGCUUGGGAAUACCA